UUGUACGUGAUGCACAAAAAUAAAAUUCAAAUAAAAUUUAAAUAUUAGUUUUUAAUUAUUUUUCUGCGCCAUAUUAAUAUCUAAGACGGUAUGCAUAUAAAUUGUAGUUAUUUAAACUGAAUUCGGCUAUUUCUAUAUAUUUUUAAUAUUUAUAUUGUUGUGAAUAAAUUAAUCAUAUACAUAUAAGUAAGAUAUUCUGUGUUUACGCCACACUACAUUGUAGCUUAUAAUGUAGUCAUUCAAUUCGUCUAUAUGUAGUUUGUUGCCUCAUCUAAAUCUCAAAAAAUGCAUAUGUAUUAAGUCAAGUCUUUAUACAGCUGUUAAAAUACACCACAAACUAGAAUUGAACUUUUUCCAGCAAUUUUUUUUUCUCUAUGGAUCAGUGACGUGACGACGUCGGUAAAACUACAAGAUUUUUGUAUUUAUCCGGCAUAGAAGAGAAAAAAAAAGUAAAAAAAGAAAAUAAUUACAAGUUUUUAAUAAAAAUAUUCAGAAAUAAAAUUAAAAAAAAAUAUAUGGAUAUUUCAUUUUAAUUCAAUGGACUAUAUGUGUAUAUUUAUUACAUUUUGAGAAACGUGGUAAAUAUUGUGAGUGGUAAAUAAAAAAAACAAAAAAUUAAAAUUAAAAGUGAAAAAUUAAAAAAAGCCGACAAAAUAAAAAUUUUUUUUAAAAAAUAAAAUCAUAAAUUUAUUUUCAAAAAAUAUUUUAAAGUGUGAAUAUUUAUAUUUGCAUAUUAUACAGUUAUAAUACAUACAUGUAUGUAUACAGUAUGUAUGCCUAAGUAUAUAUCUAAAUGUCAUCAUAUUUUAGAUUAUCCUACGUACAUUUUGAACGCAUACAAUCACAUAUAAAUAUUUCAACUUUUUAUAAAACGAAUAUAUUACGUAUUGGUGAUGUUGUAUGUAUGUAACUAACUAGUAUACGUUACGUGUAUGGUAAAUAUAAUAUAUUCUAUGUAUAGUGUGUCCUAUAUUAUUAUAAAUAUAAAUUUGUAUAGAACAUAUUAAUAACGGUGUUGAAUGUAACAAGAAAACAAAAACCAGAAAAUAAAGAAAAUAUUUUAACUGCAAAUAAUAAAAUAAACAAACGAUUGAAUUGUAUGUGAUGAACAUGAACGCAUAGAACACGUUCAGGUAUAAACGCACAGGUGUUAUAUUUUGUGAAACGAAUUAAUCAAAUAAAAAUUCGAUAGUGAUUAAAUUGAAAAGAAAAUAUUUUAAAACAUUAUAAAAAGUAUAAUGUAAAAAAAAAAAGUCAGAAAGAGGAAAUAAUUAAUAAUAGUAAUAAAAAACAAACACAAUAAACAAAGAAAAAAAAAACCAAAAACCAAUUAAAGAAAUUAUUGAAAAGAUUCAUUUUAUAAAAAAUCUACUUAUACACCUGUACAUUUCUAUAAUUAACUGUGUAUUUAAUUAUUUUAUAAAAUAUAAAAAUUCAGUAAAGAAAAAUAAAACCAACUUUUAUAGUAAAGGGUUCGAAAAUUUUGAAAUUUUUAUAAAGAAAAAAUUUUAAAUAAAAUUUAAACACCUCUCAGAGAUUACAUAGGUUCACGAAAAUUUCAAAUUAAAUUUAAUUGAAUAUACAAGAAAAGAUUACAAAAAAAAAAGACUUCACAUUUCAGUCAAACACAUACACAUACGGAAAAAUUAUUAAAGAGAAAAAUAUAAAAAAAAAAUUUUCUCGUUGUGCAAAAUAAAAUAACGGUUAUUGGUUCCAAUUCAAUACAAUUAAAACUUGUUAAAAGAAAAUUACAAAUAAAAAAAAAAAUAUAUAAAAAAAAUUGCAUUAUUAAAAAAGUUUCUGUUCGCAUUUUUACAUUUUAAUAACAGAUUUAUAUUUAUUUUUCACAAAAAAAAAUAUAACAAUUGUAUUAUUAAAUAAAAUAUACAAAACUGUAAAAUUCAUUCUCUUUACAAUAUUAACAGUAAAAUCAACAAAAAAUAAAAAAUUGUAAAUCUGAAUACUUUUUAUUUUUUAAUUUAAAAUUGUAAAAUUAUUAUAAUUUUAUUUCCCCAUAUUUAAUAUUGAUUUCAAAGAAUUAAAUAACAAUAAAUAUUGUUAUAAUUAUUAUUAAAAAUAUAUUUAAAUACUAAAAGUUAAGUGAGUACACUAAAUAAAAUAAAAUAAUAUUUUUAAAAAAUCAAUUUAAAUUUUUAACAAUAACAACAAAAAGUGAUUAUAAAAAGUGAUUAAAUUUUUUGUUUCAUUUUUGUUGAUUCGCGCAAUAUAAAAGAAUAAUAGUUUUAUCGGACAAAACAAAA
This is a long non-coding RNA of Condylostylus longicornis, 2261 nucleotides long. RefSeq lists it as uncharacterized. Lineage: Eukaryota; Metazoa; Arthropoda; Insecta; Diptera; Dolichopodidae. The record is from RefSeq and is a predicted model, not a curated record. The transcript has 2 exons.